CGGGUGACGUCGUCGGCGGCACGCCAACCUGCACCGUUCGUUUCGUGCAAGCCGCCUGCUGGCGUCAGAGCAGUGACGAUGACGCACCCG
RNAcentral lists this non-coding RNA (90 nucleotides) under Streptomyces sp. NRRL WC-3618. Its description in RNAcentral is "gntR-DTE RNA". It matches the Rfam family "gntR-DTE RNA". Lineage: Bacteria; Bacillati; Actinomycetota; Actinomycetes; Kitasatosporales; Streptomycetaceae. The record is from Rfam by way of RNAcentral.